GACGAACGCUGGCGGCGUGCCUAAUACAUGCAAGUAGAACGCUGAAGAGAGGAGCUUGCUCUUCUUGGAUGAGUUGCGAACGGGUGAGUAACGCGUAGGUAACCUGCCUGGUAGCGGGGGAUAACUAUUGGAAACGAUAGCUAAUACCGCAUAAAAUUGAUUAUUGCAUGAUAAUUAAUUGAAAGAUGCAAUUGCAUCACUACCAGAUGGACCUGCGUUGUAUUAGCUAGUUGGUGAGGUAACGGCUCACCAAGGCGACGAUACAUAGCCGACCUGAGAGGGUGAUCGGCCACACUGGGACUGAGACACGGCCCAGACUCCUACGGGAGGCAGCAGUAGGGAAUCUUCGGUAAUGGGGGGAACCCUGACCGAGCAACGCCGCGUGAGUGAAGAAGGUUUUCGGAUCGUAAAGCUCUGUUGUAAGAGAAGAACGGGUGUGAGAGUGGAAAGUUCACACUGUGACGGUAUCUUACCAGAUAGGGACGGCUAACUACGUGCCAGCAGCCGCGGUAAUACGUAGGUCCCGAGCGUUGUCCGGAUUUAUUGGGCGUAAAGCGAGCGCAGGCGGUUAGAUAGUCUGAAGUUAAAGACUGUGGCUUAACCAUAGUAUGCUUUGGAAACUGUUUAACUUGAGUGCAGAAGGGGAGAGUGGAAUUCCAUGUGUAGCGGUGAAAUGCGUAGAUAUAUGGAGGAACACCGGUGGCGAAAGCGGCUCUCUGGUCUGUAACUGACGCUGAGGCUCGAAAGCGUGGGGAGCAAAUAGGAUUAGAUACCCUGGUAGUCCACGCCGUAAACGAUGAGUGCUAGGUGUUAGGCCCUUUCCGGGGCUUAGUGCCGCAGCUAACGCAUUAAGCACUCCGCCUGGGGAGUACGACCGCAAGGUUGAAACUCAAAGGAAUUGACGGGGGCCCGCACAAGCGGUGGAGCAUGUGGUUUAAUUCGAAGCAACGCGAAGAACCUUACCAGGUCUUGACAUCCCUCUGACCGCUCUAGAGAUAGAGUUUUCCUUCGGGACAGAGGUGACAGGUGGUGCAUGGUUGUCGUCAGCUCGUGUCGUGAGAUGUUGGGUUAAGUCCCGCAACGAGCGCAACCCCUAUUGUUAGUUGCCAUCAUUCAGUUGGGCACUCUAGCGAGACUGCCGGUAAUAAACCGGAGGAAGGUGGGGAUGACGUCAAAUCAUCAUGCCCCUUAUGACCUGGGCUACACACGUGCUACAAUGGCUGGUACAACGAGUCGCAAGCCGGUGACGGCAAGCUAAUCUCUGAAAGCCAGUCUCAGUUCGGAUUGUAGGCUGCAACUCGCCUACAUGAAGUCGGAAUCGCUAGUAAUCGCGGAUCAGCACGCCGCGGUGAAUACGUUCCCGGGCCU
This 1368-nucleotide ribosomal RNA is filed under the name uncultured bacterium. RNAcentral describes it as "bacterial SSU rRNA". It matches the Rfam family "Bacterial small subunit ribosomal RNA", at positions 28 to 1381 of the family's 1533-position model. The record is from RNAcentral.